This 925-nucleotide long non-coding RNA is filed under the name Crocodylus porosus (Australian saltwater crocodile). Its description in RNAcentral is "lncRNA (ENSCPRG00005002245.1)". Lineage: Eukaryota; Metazoa; Chordata; Crocodylia; Crocodylidae. The record is from RNAcentral.
AGAGAGGACAUUCUAGUUAGUAAGGGAAAGGUCAAGAAAGUCUCAAAGGUGGAUUGCUGAAUGGCAAAUAUUAACAAGUGAAUACAAAUAAGAAAAUCACCAGCUGGGAAUGGGUUUGCUUUUGAUCUGCCAUAUACCUCCUGUAAAUGCUCCAGAUGAUGAUCUGUCCCAUAUGUUGCCUUCUCAGGGUCCUGUCUGAAGGAGCUUUGCCAUCCCCUGCAAUGGAAAUCAGAGCAAGUUCUCAAUUAUUUCUUAUUCUGCUCCCUAUGCAUUAUCAUAUCCUCUGAGGGAUGGAAUUAUCAGUUACUCUUCUGCAGAGAAAUGAAGGACCCUCUCGUCGAGAUGUGUGAGCCCGAUGGGCAGAGGGUUUUGGCAUCGUCUUCUCACUCCUUCCUCUCCCACCCCAGCCUGCCUCCGACCGCCUGCCAGAGCCGGACUGAGCACCGCUUAGCACAGGGGGAGAGCGGCUCUGCCUUGCUGGGGAAACAAAAAUACCAGGGAUGUCCCUUCUCAUUUGCAAAGGGGAACUCCAGUCUGGCUGACCUGCUUCAUGGAGAGGGGGCGAGCAGUGAUGGCUCCCCCACCCCAUUCACACACACACACACACACACACACGCUUCGCAGCAACAAGCUGCAGUCUGCUCAAAGCGGCCGCUUUCCGUCCACCGCCAUCCAAACUAUUUCCCCCUUCCCUUUGACCAAACAAAGAAGAUUUUUGUGUUUGUGUUGGCCGAGGGAUCUCUGCUCGCAGGAAACUUUCUGCCCGGAGAAAGCGGGGCUGGGGCGUGCCGGGUGGAUGCAGGGAGAUCUGAAGAAUGUAGUGCUCUCUCUGCUGCAGCAGGGCCACGAGCUUGUCAGCUGGGUUUUGAAGAGAAAGCUCUCCACACUGAUUUCUGCUUUAAACACACACUUCCCCCAAAAGUCG